This 482-nucleotide ribosomal RNA is filed under the name uncultured bacterium. Its description in RNAcentral is "bacterial SSU rRNA". It matches the Rfam family "Bacterial small subunit ribosomal RNA", at positions 29 to 500 of the family's 1533-position model. The record is from RNAcentral.
AGUGAACGCUGGCGGCAGGCCUAAUACAUGCAAGUCGAACGGCAGCACAGCAGAGCUUGCUCUGUGGGUGGCGAGUGGCGGACGGGUGAGGAAUACAUGGGAAUCUGCCCAGUCGUGGGGGAUAACGUAUGGAAACGUACGCUAAUACCGCAUGCGCCCUACGGGGGAAAGUCGGGGACCGCAAGGCCUGACGCGAUUGGAUGAGCCCAUGUUCGAUUAGCUAGUUGGCGGGGUAAAGGCCCACCAAGGCGACGAUCGAUAGCUGGUCUGAGAGGAUGAUCAGCCACACUGGAACUGAGACACGGUCCAGACUCCUACAGGAGGCAGCAGUAGGGAAUAUUGGACAAUGGGGGCAACCCUGAUCCAGCCAUGCCGCGUGAGUGAAGAAGGCCCUCGGGUUGUAAAGCUCUUUUGUCCGGAAAGAAAGCAUCUGGUUAAUACCCGGGUGUUCUGACGGUACCGGAAGAAUAAGCACCGGCUAA